UGGGGAAUCUUGGACAAUGGGCGCAAGCCUGAUCCAGCCAUGCCGCGUGAGUGAUGAAGGCCCUAGGGUCGUAAAGCUCUUUCGCCUGUGAAGAUAAUGACGGUAGCAGGUAAAGAAACCCCGGCUAACUCCGUGCCAGCAGCCGCGGUAAUACGGAGGGGGUUAGCGUUGUUCGGAAUUACUGGGCGUAAAGCGCGCGUAGGCGGACUAUUAAGUCAGAGGUGAAAUCCCGGGGCUCAACCCCGGAACUGCCUUUAAAACUAUCAGUCUAGAGUUCGAGAGAGGUGAGUGGAAUUCCGAGUGUAGAGGUGAAAUUCGUAGAUAUUCGGAGGAACACCAGUGGCGAAGGCGGCUCACUGGCUCGAUACUGACGCUGAGGUGCGAAAGUGUGGGGAGCAAACAGG
RNAcentral lists this ribosomal RNA (404 nucleotides) under uncultured bacterium. RNAcentral describes it as "bacterial SSU rRNA". It matches the Rfam family "Bacterial small subunit ribosomal RNA", at positions 355 to 776 of the family's 1533-position model. The record is from RNAcentral.